UUGUUUUCUCGUUUGCGUGUUUUGCUCCCUUUUGAGAGGGUUUUGUUGUUUUUUCCUUUUCUUGAGCUCUCUUUUCUGAGGCUCAACCCCUUGUUUGCGCCUGUGCUUUCAAGGUUUUUUCAGAUCUUUUUUUUUUAAUAAAAUUUCCAUUUCAGCAGUAGCUUGUUUGUUGGAUGCCCGAACCCAUGAUGCUUCUACUCUUGAU
This 205-nucleotide long non-coding RNA is filed under the name Salvia miltiorrhiza (redroot sage). RNAcentral describes it as "long non-coding RNA (SMIL_LNC013288)". Lineage: Eukaryota; Viridiplantae; Streptophyta; Magnoliopsida; Lamiales; Lamiaceae. The record is from RNAcentral.